GUUCAAAAUUUCAAAAUGUCCCUUACAAUGCACGAAACGUACGUAAUCAUAAUUAGUCAUAACGAAUUCUCUGAGAAUUGGGAAUUGGAUGACGGAUGAUGUCAUUGCCCCGAAGUACCACUGAGGGGCGCAGCGCUGCUUGCGUGUGGCCAGUUAGACGCUCAAGAUGGCCGUCACGUACAUCUGAUCGGAGGUGUGUAUGCGAAAUUCGACGCCGAUUUGACGUGACACGGGUGGGCCGUGCAUCGUGCACCUCGCGCCGCUGGCAUGGUGAUCGCGCGGAGGUAACCGGAGCCGGGCAUCGACGCGGACCGUCCUGGGCGUCGCCGUCGAUGAUUGUUCCUGUCCCCGCGGCCGCCGGCGGCUUGAAUCAUGUUCAGCAAGAAGCUCCAUGUAGACGUCAAGAAGUCGACGCUCAAGAUCCAGGAUGUCAAGAAGGACAGCGCGACGCGGUUCAAACAUCUUAAAAUCGUACUAGAAAAUGUGGACACUGAUGAGGCAAAGGGCUUUUUUGAGGGUAACUUCAGCCAUGUGUACUUCAUUCUUUACGAUUGCUUCGUGUCCGCCGAAGCAAAUCUUCGGCAACGCGAGCUUUCCUUCCAUAUUGUGCAUAAGGCACACAGGGAAGAGUUAGAACAAGUAUUGCAACUUCUGGAGAAAGUUUUAACUCUUCUUCCUGAGCUGCUUAACAGACGAUGGCAGUGUCAUAGUUUAGCACGGAUUUUGCAGAAGCUCUUGCAUCCUGGUAAUAGUUGGAAACUUCGUAGACAAGCUAUAAGGUACUUCAUUUUAUGGUAUCAAGCUCUUGGUGAAAAUGCUCCCGAACAUAUACAUCAGAUGUUCGCCAGCUUGGUGCCAGGAUUUCCACCGCAUCAAGCAUCGCCUUAUAAAUGUGAUCGUAAGACAGAUGGCAAGAAAGAAAAACUGGCGAAAGCAUCUAAUUCUGAAGAGAAAGAUAAGAGAGAAUUUUAUGACACGCAAUUCGGGCAAAGUACUUUUCAUGAUAAUGGAUCAAAUCAAUGUCCUAUCAGUCAAGUUGAUGGCGGGCCUAUCUUACCACCGCAAAGUGGAGAAAAACCUCUCGAUAAUGAAACUGUUCGAUUUUUGGAAGCAUUGCUUGAAUUUAUGGUUACUCAGGUGGUAAAAGUAGAAUGGCGAGAUAAAUCUACACGACAGCAUAAAACUUUUCAAUUUUUAUUAGAACGUUUUAAAGUAGCAUAUCUUCGUCACAUCUGUCCGGAAUUCAAUGACAACUUUUCCCUUUACAAACCUAAUUUGGAAUUACCCACAAUGCGUAAACCGAUGAAUCAAAAUCAGAAUAAUUAUGUACUCUGUAAAGUCGCUUUAAUCAAAUGGGUUGCAAGUUUCACGCAUGUCGCUAGAAAAGAUGGACUUUUUGCACAUCUUUCGCAAAGUACAACACCAAAUGAGGAAAAUGCCGAGUCAGAAUUACGCCGUGUGUCGGUGUAUACUCAAAAUUCUGCGGAUUCGAAUUUAUUGUCACCUGAAUCAGCUAUGUCCCAGCAGGAUAGUCAAAAUCAAGAAGAUAGUGCCGUGUCAGCCUUGUUAGUCAGAGAGGUUUUAUAUGGAAAUAGGGAUAAUGUAAAUUUUGUACACGAAUUGUACAGACAAGCAUUUCUCUUAGAUUUCCAUCAUGCGGGAGCCAUAAGAAAGGCUAUCGCUGUUUAUAAAGAUUGGAUUCAAAUGAACGAAAUCCCUCCAUUUAUGUUGGAACCAUUAGAUGGUCAUAAAGAUCGGGAUUAUGAAGAAAGUCAAAAAAAGGAAAGUGAAAUGGAGAAGAGUCCAUCUGAUAGUUAUCGGACGAGAUUAAGAAAUGAUUCUUAUCUUGGCGCUAUACAUCGGGAAAAUUUGUUUAUUAGGGCAGGCUUGCAAAAUGUUUUACAAAUUUUUAUCACUCAAGCGUCAAACGUAUUUUUCUUAGAGAACUCGGGACCGAAUGCAUCUUUAACGUUACUCGAGGAACAAACGGACAGUUGUAAGAGAGUUCUAAAUGUGUAUCGAUACGUUGUUAUGCACUCUAGGCUGGAACCAGCAACUUGGGAACAGUUACUUAGAGUAUUACUCCAAAUUACAUCGCUCGUGUUAAGCGAGAAAUCCUCUCGCCGCAAGCAUCAAGAAAGUAUCGGUGGAAAACUUGCGCCUGCCAUAUUCCAGACUUUAAUUGUUACAUGGAUUAAGGCUAACUUAAACGUGGUUAUUUCUACCCAGUUAUGGGACCAGUUUCUAGAGGUGUUAACAUCGUUAACGCAAUGGGAAGAAUUAAUUCGUGAGUGGGCGAAAACUCUAGACACACUAACAAGAGUAUUAGCGAGACACGUGUACAACUUGGAUUUGAAUGAUCUACCUUUAGACAGACUCAGCGAACAAAAAUCAAAAAAGCGACGUGGAGUUGGAAGCCGCGCAGCGUCAACUGGAAGCGUACAGCCGCCUCGGAAAGGUAGCGUUGAUCAAGAAAACAAUAUCGCGCCGAAAGAAAGUGUCGUAGAUCACCCUCUGCGUGAUAUGAGGAAAGUGCGACCAUUACCGCGCAGUGCGAGUGACAACACUAUAUACAAUGUCAAGGCUCGUACGAAGUUGCAUAGGCAGCGGACGCAUACGAUACAUAGCGGUAUUCCUGUACUCCCCCUAUCGAUAGAACAAGAUAUGGCGCGGUUACUGUCAAGCGGCUCGGCUUCGUCGUCAGCGACCAGUCGGAAGAUGCUGUCCAGCAGACGUGCCAAAUCUUUGGAUAGCAUUGUUAUAGUUGAUAGUGAACCACCAUCACCACGCUGCCCGUCGCCAACACCCAGCAGUGGCGUUGACAGCAACAAAGAUAGCCCUAUACAAAUAGAAAAUAUUGAUGGUAGCAGUAUUGACACAAAUGACGCAUCUGAGAGAAGAUCAGUUAUGGCAGGUGGAGGGGUCCGUGGAUGGUUGCCAGAUGUGGCUGUCGUUUUAUGGCGACGUAUGCUCUCAGCAUUAGGAGAUGUUAAUAAUAUUCAAGAUCCCGUUUUGCACGGUCAAGUUAUGGAUUAUCUUGUGCAACUUACACAAACGUUAAUUAAGAUACGUUUGAAUCAAGGAGUAUCCGGAGAUAAUCAAGCUACACCUCCAGCACCAGAGUUAAUUCCACCUCUGACAGUCAUCGCACCUUGGUGUUUCAAGGCGAUCCAGCUUCCUGAUCAAUACGAAAUUGGCAAAUUAGCCGCAUAUCGUCUUAUAUGUCUUUUAACAGUACAACCACUGGACAUUAGUUUACCAAAACAGCAUCUUACGCUCUUCUAUCGCGCCGUUCACAAUGGAAUUGCUAGUAAUGAUAGUAAAGUACUGCAUGUACUUGUGAAAUAUACAGGACCCAGAUUAUUUAGUUUGAAUCUACCUGGAUCGAGUCUUCUGACUUUGGACUACAUACACGCUGCAAAUGUAAUACUUAGCAGUCAAGAUGUCGAGGCACCAAGGACGGAAGCUGUUUCUAUUAUUGGUUCGUUAUUAUCCUUACCUGUUGCAACGAUCAAAUUACCCAUGUUACAACCAAAUGGGCCUGAUAUUGUAACUAUGACGUGUCCAGAAGCAAAAGAGCACAUUGUAACAAUACUUCUGCGGAGUUGUCGACGAGAACCCACUGGUAUUGCGAGAUGCUUGGCUCUAUCAAGUAUUGCAAUGUUUGUAUAUAAAGAACUAUCCUAUAAAACACAACAUCCGAGAAUUCCGGAAGCUGUCACAGUUCUUCUACUUGCACUUAGAGCUUCUCACGCUACUGUUGCACAGGUUGCGUGUGAUUCUUUGUUACUUCUUUGCGAUAAGGCUGAUGUACUACUAGAAUUGUAUCCUAAUGUGCCAUCUAAGAUAAUACAGAUCUUAUCGGAUACACUUGGACGAAUGACAACGCGUGAAAGACGCGGACCUUUAACGGUGUCGAUGCUAUUUUGCUUAGGCGAAUGGGCCAUGCAUUUAGGACCAACAGUAUUACUACAGGUGUUUCAAGGAAAACCUCUCUUGAUGACUUUAUUUACAGUUUUAAACAACAUAGUGCAAAAUAAAGUUGGAAAAGAAUUUUCGAAAACCGCUAAAAAUAACGAGGAUGACGAUGAUGAUUUUGAUCCUAAUAUUAUAUUAGAUAACUUAAUUGAUGAGUCCUCUACAAAAUCACCCCGCAAAGGAAAUAUUCAGUCGGUACAAUUGGCAGCAAAAAUGGUAUUGAUGCAUUUAAUUAAUCAUCUGGGACAUUUUCCGAUGGGUAUCGGAGCCGCGCGUCUCUCAUCACUGGUUGUUGAGUUGGACGACGUUCCUGGAAUCGACGGAGACGAGCUAUCCUCCGCCGUUUUUCAAGCACCUAAUAUACAGCUGUUGAUGCUAUCUAAUUCGAUCAUAAUGUCACUUGUAGAAUUAGCGGCAUUGGAUGCACCUGGCGGAGGCGUCACAGCUGGUUUGACUACAGCUCCUUCUCUGGUCAGAGUUUUGUUGCGUGAUCUCGCCGGAAAAGCUUCUUGGGACAGUUCGAUCUUGUAUAGCCAACCUUUCAUUGAUGACGAUCUGCCGUUACCGUUUACAAAACCUGUUGAUUGGAACGUGAAAUUACAUACAGAAGAUUUGAAUAGUGUCAUCACACCUCACAACUGUACACCCAGACACACAAUACGGCAUCGCGAGCCCCACAUAUUACCGACUUUUGCGAAUGCUGCAAGCGACAUGGAUAACUUGGACGAUCUUCUUCAAUAUAUAGGACAUACAAGCCCGGAGGUUUUAACCAAUCCAGAAGUCGCUCUCAAUGCCCCCGCUAAUCCACCUCAGGGACAUUAUCUCGAGAGCGAGACUAUUGCGACGAUUUUGAAUCAGAGAAACGCAGAGCAAGAACACAUGAAUAAUUGGAAUCAACACAUCAGUAUGAGCGCAACAGCAAUCAGUCCACCGUCAUGUCGCCCGCCUCCGGCGCCAUUUCAUCACUGCCGCCUCCUGUUUUCGCACCUCGGUUUAUCUGGCUGGGAGCUGCGUAAGAAAUUGCAUUUGUUAGCGAAAAACGAGAAACUCUUACGUGAACUUCGUAAUCUCGAUGGCCAACGGUCUCGGGAGACACACAAAAUAGCGGUGAUUUACGUUAGCCAAGGCCAGGAAGACAAGAACUCCAUACUAAGCAACGUCACUGCCAGUAAGGAGUAUGAGAGUUUUAUCGCGAGACUCGCUUGGGAAGUUGAGCUGGAAUCGCACACCGGUUUUCUUGGCGGCUUGGUACCCGGAAAGGCAUCUGGUGUCACCGCACCAUACUAUGCUACAUCUUUCACUGAAAUUCUCUUCCAUGUUGCUACAAGGAUGCCAUCGGAUAGUCCUGAGAGUUUGCUGCAAAAGACACGGCACCUUGGCAAUGAUGAAAUCCACAUAGUCUGGUCGGAACAUUGGCGAGAUUAUCGCAGAGACAUCAUACCCACAGAAUUCUGCGACGUUCUCAUUGUCAUUUAUCCAUUGAAAAAUAAGCUGUAUCGAAUACAGAUUUCGCGUAAAUCGGAGAUUCCAUUUUUCGGUCCAUUAUUUGAUGAGUGUAUUGUGGAGGAUAAGGUAUUACCGGGUUUAGUGAGGACAACCGCGUUAGCUGCGAGUAAAGCGAAGAGGUCUACGCUUACGUUAUAUCAACAUUAUUAUGAGGAGAGAGCGCGAUCCAUCGAUACCGUUAUGAGAAAUCACAAGGAAGCUACAACAUUCGAAGAGUUUACGGCCAAUGUUUAUUCACCAGUGCAACCGCCAAGUCCGUUUAGCGCAGCUUCGUCUGUCUCUGGAUCUACAACAAGCGUGCAAUCCACAGCAUCGUCAAACCUCGCAGCAGCACUUAUAGAUUCGCACCAGGGACGCUCCGGUUUGCGCAGCAGUUCGACGGCGAGCAGUGACAAUCGUGCGAAUAGAGGUGACUAAUUCAGUCCACUAACCCCCACCCACCUUGUAACACCACCGAACAAGUCUUGCAAAAUAUAUUCAGAGUUUCUGACGGAAGCAGAGUAUGGUUUAGUAGUGAUACUCCCGAGAGUCCUGCGCUUCA
RNAcentral lists this unclassified non-coding RNA (6025 nucleotides) under Acromyrmex echinatior (Panamanian leafcutter ant). Its description in RNAcentral is "ral GTPase-activating protein subunit alpha-1, transcript variant X6". Lineage: Eukaryota; Metazoa; Arthropoda; Insecta; Hymenoptera; Formicidae. The record is from RNAcentral.